This 253-nucleotide ribosomal RNA is filed under the name uncultured bacterium. RNAcentral describes it as "partial 16S ribosomal RNA". It matches the Rfam family "Bacterial small subunit ribosomal RNA", at positions 524 to 776 of the family's 1533-position model. The record is from RNAcentral.
UACAGAGGGGGCAAGCGUUGUUCGGAAUUACUGGGCGUAAAGGGCGCGUAGGCGGCCUGUUAAGUCGAACGUGAAAUCCCCGGGCUCAACCCGGGAACUGCGUCCGAUACUGGCAGGCUUGAAUCCGGGAGAGGGAUGCGGAAUUCCAGGUGUAGCGGUGAAAUGCGUAGAUAUCUGGAGGAACACCGGUGGCGAAGGCGGCAUCCUGGACCGGCAUUGACGCUGAGGCGCGAAAGCCUGGGGAGCAAACAGG